UACGGAGGGUGCAAGCGUUGUCCGGAUUUAUUGGGUUUAAAGGGUGCGUAGGCGGCCCGUUAAGUCAGCGGUGAAAUCCCGGGGCUCAACCCCGGAACUGCCGUUGAUACUGGCGGGCUUGAGUUCGGUCGAGGCGGGCGGAACUGGUGGUGUAGCGGUGAAAUGCUUAGAUACCACCAAGAACCCCGAUUGCGUAGACAGCUCGCUUGGCCGAAACUGACGCUGAGGCACGAAAGCGUGGGGAGCGAACAGG
Molecule: ribosomal RNA, 253 nt
Filed under: uncultured bacterium
Lineage: Bacteria
Description: partial 16S ribosomal RNA
Rfam family: Bacterial small subunit ribosomal RNA
Source: RNAcentral